This 1120-nucleotide long non-coding RNA is filed under the name Nicotiana tabacum (common tobacco). RNAcentral's name for it is "long non-coding RNA (NTAB_LNC019183)". Lineage: Eukaryota; Viridiplantae; Streptophyta; Magnoliopsida; Solanales; Solanaceae. The record is from RNAcentral.
UUGUCUUUUAAGUUUUCACCUAAAGAAAUUAGAACGUCCAGAUCAUUAUUGGAUUUGUAAAAGAGAAAAGAAACACAAUUGCUUUGUUAAGACUUCCUUUUUGCCUUUGGUUUUCUGUUUGAUAUCUUUCUAAUUGAUAUUAUUAACGAGCCAUUUUGUUUGUUUUGUGUAUCUAUUGGCAAUGUGAUUAUAUUUCCAUUCCUGUUGCAAAUGCUACUUGUGCCAAUCAAUUAAAAAAAAUGCUACUUGUAGAGUGAAUUCACGGUUUACAAUUUUGAUUUAAGGCCUAAGUGUGUUGAGUUCCAAAGAGCCUUCCAACUAUCUUGCCAGAUACAACAACACUCCUCAAUAUCAAGCAAGUUAGGGUCAGCUAUAUGAAUUCUCAGUUACCAUGUCACUCUCACUCUGUUUAAGCUCAUCAAAUAUCUUUCUAGAUAUAAUUGCCCAAAAGCUCAUUAUGGAGCAUGUUCCUGUUGUUAGUUUAUUUUCUGAAUGCAGCAAUCGGCUUCUUUAGUAAAGGCUAAUUCUUGAAAGGAAAAUUACUCUUGUGUGGCAAAGAAAAAUAUAUUAAUGAACAUUUGGUUUUAAUAUGUUCUUGAAUGAGGCUUUCUGUUAUGCAUCUAAGCAGAAAAAAUGUAUAAGAAACUUGUAUCAGUCUCUGUUUCCAGAUUUGGAUGAAAUGGUUCUUUUAUCAUACUCCAAAGUGUCUUAGCACUCUAAUGGUUAUUUCAGUGGAAGAUGCUGUAUAUGUUUUAGCUCCCUUGUGCAUAGUGGUUAUUAAGCUUUCAUUAUCAGUAAUUUCAUCUCCUCUUGCAGAAAAUAAAGAAAUUCUUGCUUGCUGAAGUAAUCUUUGGGAACACAGAAGGGACCACUGAGAAAAGAAGUUAAUCCCUGGUGAAAUCAAAGUGUGAACUGUGAUGUUGAAUUCUUGUAAUUCAGACCACUGGGUACCUUGCUUGUCUAGCGGAAUAGAAUUCUAACUGUUUGUGCUAACAGAAAAUAGAUUUUUGACGUGUAAAAUUAUGGCCUAAAUACAUUGCUGUCAUUUCAUUUUACAUCAAGCAUUUUAAGACUUUCUUAAUGAUCAGAUUUUAGUUUCCUCUUGAUCUGAAAAGUAUUA